GAGACACUGGCUUUGAUCCCUGGCAUCACAUAAAAAUAAAUAAAAUAAAGGUACAUCUACAAUUAAAAAAAUUUUUUUUAAAAAGAAGGGAAUUUUAUCUGAAGCUUUGUCUCAGCCAGAAUAUGGAAUAUAUAGGCUCUUUGUACUCAGAGCCAUGAUAGGAACUGCUGAUCCAAACAGGGCCUCUCCACCUUUUUGCCUCUUGAUUCAGGACCUCAAAUGCUAAGGGCCUAUGGAUUUGAUCUAAUGGGAAACCUUGAAGAGUACCAAAUGGUGUAGUAACAGAUUUGCAUUUUAGGAAAAAUACUCAAGCUGCAGAUGUAAAGUGGUGGGAAUAUAAGGUUAGGGGGCUAAUUCUAUAAACUAGGUCCACUGUGAUGACCCCCACAUGCUUUCUUUUAAAAAGCAAUUUACCUGGCUUAAGUCAGGAUAUGUUACACCUCAGCAAACAACCUAUUAUCUGAAGAAGAAAUGCAGGGUAACAGAAGUUAACCCUGAAGUCGGGGGACUUCUGUGACUUAUAUAGGCCAGAUCCCAGAAUUCAGGAAGAUAAGGACAAUUCCCCCUAACUCUAAAACCCAUAAGAACAAGUUCUAGUUAGAACCAGUCAACAUGGGCAAAUGCCCUGGAUCUUUACUAUACACAGUUGGGACUUGGAAGUUUGAUGUGAUUGUGCUGUCAGUCAAAUGUCAAGAGGUGUCAGGCGCAGUGGCACACGUCUGUAAUCCCAGUGGCUUGGAAGGCUAAGGCAGGAGGAUUGCAAGUUCAAAGUCAGCCUCAGCAACUCAGUGAGGCACUAAGCAACUCAGUGAGACCCUGUCUCUAAAUAAAAAUUUAAAAAAGCACCCCUGGUUCAAUCCCCGGUACCAAAAAAAA
RNAcentral lists this long non-coding RNA (876 nucleotides) under Marmota monax (woodchuck). The record is from RNAcentral. Lineage: Eukaryota; Metazoa; Chordata; Mammalia; Rodentia; Sciuridae.